Molecule: ribosomal RNA, 480 nt
Filed under: uncultured bacterium
Lineage: Bacteria
Description: bacterial SSU rRNA
Rfam family: Bacterial small subunit ribosomal RNA
Source: RNAcentral
UUGAACGCUGGCGGUAUGCUUUACACAUGCAAGUCGAACGGGCUAUGGGGCUUGCUCCAUAGUUAGUGGCGAACGGGUGAGUAAUAUAUCGGAACGUGCCCGAUCGUGGGGGAUAACGGAGUGAAAGCUUUGCUAAUACCGCAUACGAUCUACGGAUGAAAGCAGGGGACCGCAAGGCCUUGCGCGGACGGAGCGGCCGAUGGCAGAUUAGGUAGUUGGUGGGAUAAAAGCUUACCAAGCCGACGAUCUGUAGCUGGUCUGAGAGGACGACCAGCCACACUGGGACUGAGACACGGCCCAGACUCCUACGGGAGGCAGCAGUGGGGAAUUUUGGACAAUGGGCGAAAGCCUGAUCCAGCCAUGCCGCGUGCAGGAUGAAGGCCUUCGGGUUGUAAACUGCUUUUGUACGGAACGAAAAGACUCCUUCUAAUAAAGGGGGUCCAUGACGGUACCGUAAGAAUAAGCACCGGCUAACUACGU